CGGAUCGGCCCCGAAAAUUGAUGGCGCUCGAACGCAACCCUCGAACCCCCGCCGACGGAGGCUAGGGGAGGCCCCGUCGAGUAGGCGGACGCGCGGGUCGCUUCGACGCUCCCGCGCGAGCGGGGGCGGAGCGGCCCGUGGUGCAGAUCUUGGUGGUAGUAGCGAUCACCCAGGCGAGAACCCCUGAGGGCCGAAGUGGAGAAGGGUUUCUCGAGAACGGCACUCGCUCGAGAGUUAGUCGAUCCUAAGCUGCCGGCGGCAGCCACGAAACGGUCGAUCGGGCGCGAGCCCGGCAGCCACGACCGGGCAGCGAAAGGGAAUUGGGAAACCUCCUUCCCAAAACCCGGAACCGGAACGAGGGCGGCGACGCGAACGAAACGGCCGCGGAGACGGCGGCCGCGG
RNAcentral lists this ribosomal RNA (402 nucleotides) under uncultured eukaryote. RNAcentral describes it as "eukaryotic LSU rRNA". It matches the Rfam family "Eukaryotic large subunit ribosomal RNA", at positions 1302 to 1683 of the family's 3401-position model. The record is from RNAcentral.